RNAcentral lists this ribosomal RNA (410 nucleotides) under uncultured microorganism. Its description in RNAcentral is "bacterial SSU rRNA". It matches the Rfam family "Bacterial small subunit ribosomal RNA", at positions 509 to 917 of the family's 1533-position model. The record is from RNAcentral.
CAGCCGCCGCGGUAAUACGUAGGGGGCGAGCGUUGUCCGGAAUUAUUGGGCGUAAAGCGCGCGCAGGCGGUCCCUUAAGUCUGAUGUGAAAGCCCACGGCUCAACCGUGGAGGGUCAUUGGAAACUGGGGGACUUGAGUGCAGAAGAGGAGAGCGGAAUUCCACGUGUAGCGGUGAAAUGCGUAGAGAUGUGGAGGAACACCAGUGGCGAAGGCGGCUCUCUGGUCUGUAACUGACGCUGAGGCGCGAAAGCGUGGGGAGCAACCAGGAUUAGAUACCCUGGUAGUCCACGCCGUAAACGAUGAGUGCUAAGUGUUAGAGGGGUUAAACCCUUUAGUGCUGUAGCUAACGCGUUAAGCACUCCGCCUGGGGAGUACGGCCGCAAGGCUGAAACUUAAAGGAAUUGGCGGG